CAGUAGCCACGGUAAAACGAAGGGUGCAAGCGUUACUCGGAAUUACUGGGCGUAAAGCGUGCGUAGGUGGUUGUUUAAGUCUGCUGUGAAAGCCCUGGGCUCAACCUGGGAAUUGCAGUGGAUACUGGGCAACUAGAGUAAGGUAGAGGAUAGUGGAAUUUCCGGUGUAGCAGUGAAAUGCGUAGAGAUCGGAAGGAACAUCUGUGGCGAAGGCGACUAUCUGGGCCAUUACUGACACUGAGGCACGAAAGCGUGGGGAGCAAACAGGAUUAGAUACCCCAGUAGUCCCUGUCUCUUAUAC
RNAcentral lists this ribosomal RNA (301 nucleotides) under uncultured bacterium. Its description in RNAcentral is "partial 16S ribosomal RNA". It matches the Rfam family "Bacterial small subunit ribosomal RNA", at positions 509 to 807 of the family's 1533-position model. The record is from RNAcentral.